This 447-nucleotide ribosomal RNA is filed under the name uncultured bacterium. RNAcentral describes it as "bacterial SSU rRNA". It matches the Rfam family "Bacterial small subunit ribosomal RNA", at positions 29 to 521 of the family's 1533-position model. The record is from RNAcentral.
AACGAACGCUGGCGGCAUGCCUAACACAUGCAAGUCGAACGAGACCUUCGGGUCUAGUGGCGCACGGGUGCGUAACGCGUGGGAAUCUACCCUUGGGUUCGGAAUAACUCAGAGAAAUUUGAGCUAAUACCGGAUGAUGUCGCAAGACCAAAGAUUUAUCGCCCAAGGAUGAGCCCGCGUAGGAUUAGCUUGUUGGUGAGGUAAAAGCUCACCAAGGCGACGAUCCUUAGCUGGUCUGAGAGGAUGAUCAGCCACACUGGGACUGAGACACGGCCCAGACUCCUACGGGAGGCAGCAGUGGGGAAUAUUGGACAAUGGGCGAAAGCCUGAUCCAGCAAUGCCGCGUGAGUGAUGAAGGCCUUAGGGUUGUAAAGCUCUUUUACCCGGGAUGAUAAUGACAGUACCGGGAGAAUAAGCCCCGGCUAACUCCGUGCCAGCAGCCGCGGU